AAUCAACGCUGGCGGCGUGCCUAACACAUGCAAGUCGAGCGCGAAAGGGGGCUUCGGUCCCCAAGUAGAGCGGCGGACGGGUGAGUAACACGUGGGUAAUCUGCCCUUGGGUGGGGAAUAACUCAGGGAAACCUGGGCUAAUUCCGCAUGACAUCGCCUCCUCAUAAGGAGAGGCGAUCAAAGCUGGGGAUCCUUCGGGACCUGGCGCCUGGGGAGGAGCCCGCGGCCAAUUAGCUUGUUGGUGAGGUAAAGGCUCACCAAGGCUCCGAUUGGUAGCCGGCCUGAGAGGGCGGACGGCCACACUGGGACUGAGACACGGCCCAGACUCCUACGGGAGGCAGCAGUGGGGAAUUUUGUCAAUGGGGGAAACCCUGAACAAGCAACGCCGCGUGAAGGACGAAGGCCUUCGGGUUGUAAACUUCUGUCGGAGGGGACGAAAGCGGUUGCGGUUAAUACCCGUUUCCGUUGACGGUACCCUACGAGGAAGCCCCGGCUAACUCCGUG
This 504-nucleotide ribosomal RNA is filed under the name uncultured bacterium. RNAcentral describes it as "bacterial SSU rRNA". It matches the Rfam family "Bacterial small subunit ribosomal RNA", at positions 28 to 507 of the family's 1533-position model. The record is from RNAcentral.